GGUCAGGUUUCCGUAGGUGAACCUGCGGAAGGAUCAUUGU
RNAcentral lists this ribosomal RNA (40 nucleotides) under Chrysanthemum dichrum. Its description in RNAcentral is "Chrysanthemum dichroum partial 18S ribosomal RNA". Lineage: Eukaryota; Viridiplantae; Streptophyta; Magnoliopsida; Asterales; Asteraceae. The record is from RNAcentral.